RNAcentral lists this unclassified non-coding RNA (22 nucleotides) under Chlamydomonas reinhardtii. Its description in RNAcentral is "small RNA Cre_4162". Lineage: Eukaryota; Viridiplantae; Chlorophyta; Chlorophyceae; Chlamydomonadales; Chlamydomonadaceae. The record is from RNAcentral.
UUUGUGACAUAUAAUUGGCAUA